RNAcentral lists this ribosomal RNA (468 nucleotides) under uncultured bacterium. RNAcentral describes it as "partial 16S ribosomal RNA". It matches the Rfam family "Bacterial small subunit ribosomal RNA", at positions 28 to 507 of the family's 1533-position model. The record is from RNAcentral.
GACGAACGCUGGCGGCGUGCUUAACACAUGCAAGUCGAACGGAAAGGCCCUGCUUUUGUGGGGUGCUCGAGUGGCGAACGGGUGAGUAACACGUGAGUAACCUGCCCUUGACUUUGGGAUAACUUCAGGAAACUGGGGCUAAUACCGGAUAGGAGCUCCUGCUGCAUGGUGGGGGUUGGAAAGUUUCGGCGGUUGGGGAUGGACUCGCGGCUUAUCAGCUUGUUGGUGGGGUAGUGGCGUACCAAGGCUUUGACGGGUAGCCGGCCUGAGAGGGUGACCGGCCACAAUGGGACUGAGAUACGGCCCAGACUCCUACGGGAGGCAGCAGUGGGGAAUAUUGCACAAUGGGCGGAAGCCUGAUGCAGCAACGCCGCGUGCGGGAUGACGGCCUUCGGGUUGUAAACCGCUUUCGCCUGUGACGAAGCGUGAGUGACGGUAAUGGGUAAAGAAGCACCGGCUAACUACGUG